This 698-nucleotide ribosomal RNA is filed under the name Vibrio cholerae. RNAcentral describes it as "partial 23S ribosomal RNA". It matches the Rfam family "Bacterial large subunit ribosomal RNA", at positions 1213 to 1895 of the family's 2925-position model. The record is from RNAcentral. Lineage: Bacteria; Pseudomonadati; Pseudomonadota; Gammaproteobacteria; Vibrionales; Vibrionaceae.
UCUUUUAGACAUUGGGUAGGGGAGCGUUCUGUAAGCCGUUGAAGGUGAAUCGUAAGGUUUGCUGGAGGUAUCAGAAGUGCGAAUGCUGACAUGAGUAACGACAAGGGGGGUGAAAAACCUCCCCGCCGGAAGACCAAGGGUUCCUGUCCAACGUUAAUCGGGGCAGGGUGAGUCGACCCCUAAGGCGAGGCUGAAAAGCGUAGUCGAUGGGAAACGGGUUAAUAUUCCCGUACUCAAUCAAAUUGCGAUGGGGGGACGGAGAAGGCUAGGUGGGCCAGGCGACGGUUGUCCUGGUUCAAGUGCGUAGGCUUAAGAGUUAGGUAAAUCCGGCUCUUUCUAAGGCUGAGACACGACGUCGAGCUACUACGGUAGUGAAGUCAUUGAUGCCAUGCUUCCAGGAAAAGCCUCUAAGCUUCAGAUUUGAUGGAAUCGUACCCCAAACCGACACAGGUGGUCGGGUAGAGAAUACCAAGGCGCUUGAGAGAACUCGGGUGAAGGAACUAGGCAAAAUGGUACCGUAACUUCGGGAGAAGGUACGCUCUUGAUGGUGAAGUCCCUCGCGGAUGGAGCUGACGAGAGUCGCAGAUACCAGGUGGCUGCAACUGUUUAUUAAAAACACAGCACUGUGCAAAAUCGCAAGAUGACGUAUACGGUGUGACGCCUGCCCGGUGCCGGAAGGUUAAUUGAUGGGGUUAGCG